This 448-nucleotide ribosomal RNA is filed under the name uncultured bacterium. Its description in RNAcentral is "SSU rRNA". It matches the Rfam family "Bacterial small subunit ribosomal RNA", at positions 26 to 518 of the family's 1533-position model. The record is from RNAcentral.
AGAAUGAACGCUGGCGGCAUGCCUAACACAUGCAAGUCGAACGAAGUCCUUCGGGGCUUAGUGGCGCACGGGUGCGUAACGCGUGGGAAUCUGCCCCUUGGUUCGGAAUAACAGCUAGAAAUGGCUGCUAAUACCGGAUGAUGACGUAAGUCCAAAGAUUUAUCGCCAGGGGAUGAGCCCGCGUAGGAUUAGCUAGUUGGUGUGGUAAAGGCGCACCAAGGCGACGAUCCUUAGCUGGUCUGAGAGGAUGAUCAGCCACACUGGGACUGAGACACGGCCCAGACUCCUACGGGAGGCAGCAGUGGGGAAUAUUGGACAAUGGGCGAAAGCCUGAUCCAGCAAUGCCGCGUGAGUGAUGAAGGCCUUAGGGUUGUAAAGCUCUUUUACCCGGGAUGAUAAUGACAGUACCGGGAGAAUAAGCUCCGGCUAACUCCGUGCCAGCAGCCGC